This 511-nucleotide ribosomal RNA is filed under the name Oryza nivara. RNAcentral's name for it is "rRNA SSU_rRNA_eukarya". It matches the Rfam family "Bacterial small subunit ribosomal RNA", at positions 875 to 1387 of the family's 1533-position model. Lineage: Eukaryota; Viridiplantae; Streptophyta; Magnoliopsida; Poales; Poaceae. The record is from RNAcentral.
GGGGAGUACGUUCGCAAGAAUGAAACUCAAAGGAAUUGACGGGGGCCCGCACAAGCGGUGGAGCAUGUGGUUUAAUUCGAUGCAAAGCGAAGAACCUUACCAGGGCUUGACAUGCCGCGAAUCCUCUUGAAAGAGAGGGGUGCCCUCGGGAACGCGGACACAGGUGGUGCAUGGCUGUCGUAAGCUCGUGCCGUAAGGUGUUGGGUUAAGUCUCGCAACGAGCGCAACCCUCGUGUUUAGUUGCCACUAUGAGUUUGGAACCCUGAACAGACCGCCGGUGUUAAGCCGGAGGAAGUAGAGGAUGAGGCCAAGUUAUCAUGCCCCUUAUGCCUUGGGCGACACACGUGCUACAAUGGGCGGGACAAAGGGUCGCGAUCUCGCGAGGGUGAGCUAACUCCAAAAACCCGUCCUCAGUUCGGAUUGCAGGCUGCAACUCGCCUGCAUGAAGCAGGAAUCGCUAGUAAUCGUCGGUCAGCCAUACGGUGGCGAAUCCGUUCUCGGGCCUUGUAUA